AUGAAAAACUGUGGGAGUUUCCUAGAUAUGAUUAUUUUGGGGACCAGAAGGGAAGAGGUGACUAGAAAAAGGAGUCCUACUGAAAGAUGCUAGAAGCACAAAAGGGGCAGUUUGAAGAUUGGCUGAGGGCAUUGUAGGUGGAACGAUAGGAGCAAUGUUUAUUACGUUGGUUGAGCAUUUUGAAUUCAACGAUCGGGGUUGAAUUUGACAAGUAUUUCCUAAGAAC
This 226-nucleotide long non-coding RNA is filed under the name Coffea arabica (coffee). RNAcentral describes it as "long non-coding RNA (CARA_LNC007940)". Lineage: Eukaryota; Viridiplantae; Streptophyta; Magnoliopsida; Gentianales; Rubiaceae. The record is from RNAcentral.